RNAcentral lists this ribosomal RNA (661 nucleotides) under uncultured fungus. RNAcentral's name for it is "eukaryotic LSU rRNA". It matches the Rfam family "Eukaryotic large subunit ribosomal RNA", at positions 24 to 664 of the family's 3401-position model. The record is from RNAcentral. Lineage: Eukaryota; Fungi.
CCCGCUGAACUUAAGCAUAUCAAUAAGCGGAGGAAAAGAAACUAACAAGGAUUCCCCUAGUAACUGCGAGUGAAGCGGGAAGAGCUCAAAUUUAAAAUCUGACGUGCGGUCAGCCGUCCGAGUUGUAGUCUGGAGAAGCGUUUUCUGUGUUGGACCAUGUACAAGUCCCUUGGAACAGGGCGUCAUAGAGGGUGAGAAUCCCGUCUUUGACAUGGACUACCAACGCUCUGUGAUGCGCUCUCAAAGAGUCGAGUUGUUUGGGAAUGCAGCUCAAAACGGGUGGUAAAUUCCAUCUAAAGCUAAAUAUAGGCGAGAGACCGAUAGCGAACAAGUACCGUGAGGGAAAGAUGAAAAGCACUUUGGAAAGAGAGUUAAACAGUACGUGAAAUUGCUGAAAGGGAAACGCUUGAAGUCAGUCGCAUCUGCUGGGACUCAGCCUUGCUUAUGCUUGGUGCACUUUUCCAGUUUGAUGGGCCAGCAUCAAUUUCGAUCGUUAGAGAAAGGCCUUGGGAACGUGGCACCAUUCGGUGUGUUAUAGCCCUCGGUCAUAUGUGACGGUUGGGAUUGAGGAUCGCAGCACGCCUUUAAGGCUGGGGUUUUGCCCACACACGUGCUUAGGAUGCUGGCAUAAUGGCUUUAAGCGACCCGUCUUGAAACACGG